GUUAAUGUAGCUUAAAACAAAAGCAAGGUGCUGAAAACACCUAGAUGAGUUAUUCCAACUCCAUGAACA
This 69-nucleotide transfer RNA is filed under the name Loxodonta africana (African savanna elephant). Lineage: Eukaryota; Metazoa; Chordata; Mammalia; Proboscidea; Elephantidae. The record is from Rfam by way of RNAcentral.